AGCGGCGGACGGGUUAGUAACCGCGUGGGACGUACCUUUCGGGUAGGGAAUAGCCACUGAACACGGUGAGUAAUACCUUAUACGCCCUUCGGGGGAAAGAUUUAUCCGCCGAGGGAUCCGGCCCGCGUUAAAAUUACCAUAGGGUGGGUGGGGGAUAAUGCCCUACCAAGUCUAGGGUGGGGGGGGGGGGUUUUAGAGGAUGAUCAGCAACGCUGGGAACUGAACCACGGCCCCAGAACUCCUACGGGAGGAAGCGGUGAGUAAUCUUACACGGGGGCGAAUGUCUGAUCUAGCCAUGCAGGUGAGGUGAAGAGGCACUACGCUCUAAAGGCUCU
RNAcentral lists this ribosomal RNA (335 nucleotides) under uncultured bacterium. RNAcentral's name for it is "partial 16S ribosomal RNA". The stretch from base 1 to 299 matches the Rfam family "Bacterial small subunit ribosomal RNA", at positions 94 to 397 of the family's 1533-position model. The record is from RNAcentral.